UACGUAGGGUGCAAGCGUUGUCCGGAAUUAUUGGGCGUAAAGAGCUCGUAGGCGGUUUGUCGCGUCCGCUGUGAAAUCCCGAGGCUCAACCUCGGGCUUGCAGUGGGUACGGGCAGACUAGAGUGCGGUAGGGGAGAUUGGAAUUCCUGGUGUAGCGGUGGAAUGCGCAGAUAUCAGGAGGAACACCGAUGGCGAAGGCAGAUCUCUGGGCCGUAACUGACGCUGAGGAGCGAAAGCAUGGGGAGCGAACAGG
Molecule: ribosomal RNA, 253 nt
Filed under: uncultured bacterium
Lineage: Bacteria
Description: partial 16S ribosomal RNA
Rfam family: Bacterial small subunit ribosomal RNA
Source: RNAcentral